RNAcentral lists this unclassified non-coding RNA (215 nucleotides) under Oryza sativa (Asian cultivated rice). RNAcentral's name for it is "partial microRNA MIR451b precursor". The record is from RNAcentral. Lineage: Eukaryota; Viridiplantae; Streptophyta; Magnoliopsida; Poales; Poaceae.
ACGUUAUAUCUGGUAUUGUGGUUGAAGGAUGUAAUUCAAACCCGACGUCAAUAUCAUGGACCUAAAUCAAACUUAUUCCAUUUGCAAACAACUCUAUUGGACAUUACUGAGCCAUUAUGACCCACAAAUAAACACAAGGAAAAAGUACAUAGAAGGUCCCUCAACUUGUCACCGAGAUAAAAAACGUCCUCGAACCGCAAAACCAGAUAUCGAGG